This 118-nucleotide non-coding RNA is filed under the name Thalassionema frauenfeldii. Lineage: Eukaryota; Bacillariophyta; Fragilariophyceae; Thalassionematales; Thalassionemataceae. The record is from RNAcentral.
UUGCUAUGAAUAUCGAGCUGUAUUCGAAUGUACGAGAACAUGUCUUAAGGCUGAUGCAGUUACUUCAAGGAAACCCACCUGUAGUUACUGCUUUGGUAGGCUCGUCGUCAGAGAAAAA